Molecule: ribosomal RNA, 386 nt
Filed under: uncultured bacterium
Lineage: Bacteria
Description: bacterial SSU rRNA
Rfam family: Bacterial small subunit ribosomal RNA
Source: RNAcentral
AGUACACGUGGGUGAUCUAGCCCCAAACUUCGGGAUAAGGCCUGGGAAACUGGGUCUAAUACCGGAUAUGACCUGCUCCUGCAUGGGGUGGUGGAAAGCUUUUGCGGUUUGGGAUGGGCCCGCGGCCUAUCAGCUUGUUGGUGGGGGUAAAUGGGCCUACCAAGGCGACGACGGGUAGCCGACCUGAGAGGGUGAUCGGCCACACUGGGACUGAGACACGGCCCAGACUCCUACGGGAGGCAGCAGUGGGGAAUAUUGCACAAUGGGCGCAAGCCUGAUGCAGCGACGCCGCGUGAGGGAUGACGGCCUUCGGGUUGUAAACCUCUUUCGCCAGGGACGAAGCGCAAGUGACGGUACCUGGAGAAGAAGCACCGGCCAACUACGUG